Molecule: ribosomal RNA, 913 nt
Filed under: uncultured Bacteroidota bacterium
Lineage: Bacteria; Pseudomonadati; Bacteroidota
Description: bacterial SSU rRNA
Rfam family: Bacterial small subunit ribosomal RNA
Source: RNAcentral
UGCGUAUCGCGUAUGGAACCUACCUUAUACUGGGGUAUAGCCCGGAGAAAUUCGGAUUAAUCCCCCAUAGUAUUAUUGGAUCGCAUGGUUUGAUAAUUAAAGGUUACGGUAUAAGAUGGGCAUGCGUCCUAUUAGCUAGAUGGUAAGGUAACGGCUUACCAUGGCUACGAUAGGUAGGGGGCCUGAGAGGGUGGUCCCCCACACUGGUACUGAGACACGGACCAGACUCCUACGGGAGGCAGCAGUGAGGAAUAUUGGUCAAUGGGCGCAAGCCUGAACCAGCCAUGCCGCGUGCAGGAAGAAUGCCCUACGGGUUGUAAACUGCUUUUAUUUAGGAAUAAACUCUUGUACGUGUACAAGCCUGAAGGUACUAAAUGAAUAAGCACCGGCUAACUCCGUGCCAGCAGCCGCGGUAAUACGGAGGGUGCAAGCGUUAUCCGGAAUCAUUGGGUUUAAAGGGUCCGCAGGCGGAUUUAUAAGUCAGUGGUGAAAUCCUAUCGCUUAACGAUAGAACUGCCAUUGAUACUGUAAGUCUUGAAUUCGGUCGAAGUGGGCGGAAUGUGUAGUGUAGCGGUGAAAUGCAUAGAUAUUACACAGAACACCGAUAGCGAAGGCAGCUCACUAGGCCUGGAUUGACGCUCAGGGACGAAAGCGUGGGGAUCAAACAGGAUUAGAUACCCUGGUAGUCCACGCUGUAAACGAUGAUUACUCGUUUUCGGCGAUAUAAUGUCGGAGACUAAGCGAAAGUGAUAAGUAAUCCACCUGGGGAGUACGAUCGCAAGGUUGAAACUCAAAGGAAUUGACGGGGGCCCGCACAAGCGGUGGAGCAUGUGGUUUAAUUCGAUGAUACGCGAGGAACCUUACCAGGGCUUGAAAGUUAGUGAGGAAUGUGGAAACAUGUUCGUCAGCAAUG